UGGUAAUGAUGGCAGAGAGGUCACACCCGUUCCCAUACCGAACACGGAAGUUAAGCUCUCUAGCGCCGAUGGUAGUUGGGACCUUGUCCCUGUGAGAGUAGGACGUUGCCAGGCA
RNAcentral lists this ribosomal RNA (115 nucleotides) under Streptococcus pneumoniae. Lineage: Bacteria; Bacillati; Bacillota; Bacilli; Lactobacillales; Streptococcaceae. The record is from RNAcentral. RNAcentral also lists the same sequence under 126 other names.